This 26-nucleotide non-coding RNA is filed under the name Cricetulus griseus (Chinese hamster). The record is from RNAcentral. Lineage: Eukaryota; Metazoa; Chordata; Mammalia; Rodentia; Cricetidae. RNAcentral also lists the same sequence under 1 other name.
UCUAAGGCGCUGGAUUUAGGCUCCAG